UGAGCUUGAUCCUGGCUCAGAGUGAACGCUGGCGGUAGGCCUAACACAUGCAAGUCGAACGGCAGCACAGUAAGAGCUUGCUCUUAUGGGUGGCGAGUGGCGGACGGGUGAGGAAUACAUCGGAAUCUACCUUUUCGUGGGGGAUAACGUAGGGAAACUUACGCUAAUACCGCAUACGACCUUCGGGUGAAAGCAGGGGACCUUCGGGCCUUGCGCGGAUAGAUGAGCCGAUGUCGGAUUAGCUAGUUGGCGGGGUAAAGGCCCACCAAGGCGACGAUCCGUAGCUGGUCUGAGAGGAUGAUCAGCCACACUGGAACUGAGACACGGUCCAGACUCCUACGGGAGGCAGCAGUGGGGAAUAUUGGACAAUGGGCGCAAGCCUGAUCCAGCCAUACCGCGUGGGUGAAGAAGGCCUUCGGGUUGUAAAGCCCUUUUGUUGGGAAAGAAAAGCAGUCGGCUAAUACCCGGUUGUUCUGACGUACCCAAG
RNAcentral lists this ribosomal RNA (487 nucleotides) under Stenotrophomonas sp. 01WB03.3-39. RNAcentral describes it as "bacterial SSU rRNA". It matches the Rfam family "Bacterial small subunit ribosomal RNA", at positions 1 to 483 of the family's 1533-position model. Lineage: Bacteria; Pseudomonadati; Pseudomonadota; Gammaproteobacteria; Lysobacterales; Lysobacteraceae. The record is from RNAcentral.